RNAcentral lists this long non-coding RNA (4817 nucleotides) under Amphimedon queenslandica. RNAcentral describes it as "uncharacterized LOC109581176, transcript variant X1". Lineage: Eukaryota; Metazoa; Porifera; Demospongiae; Haplosclerida; Niphatidae. The record is from RNAcentral.
UACAUCCUGUACAGGUUGCUAUGCAAUCAUUGACACAUACUGGCACUAUAGAGUGUACUGAUGAUAUCACAGGGUUGGGUUGGGCAUUCAUGCAAUACUACUAUCAGUUGCAAGUUACUUCCAGUGUGAUGCAGCAAUUCACUUAGCACAAAGCCUCUACUGAUCAUUCUUAGUCUCCACAGUAUGUCUGAUGAUGAACCUAGGGUAAGCCAAUAGCUAUAUACAGUCAUGCAUGUAUUCUCUUCAUUAGUUUGACUAUCAUCCAGGCAAGUGUCUGUUUUGUAAAGAAGAAACAGAAGUUCGGAGUGUUAGAAUAUUUGAAUGCUGGGACUGGCAUAAAUUUUGCAGGUCUUGUCUCAACUCUUCAUUGUUGAAGCACUGCCCGAUCCAUAGUAUGUCUCCAAGAAAUCCAGAAAAACCAUUAACACAUUCAAAAUAGAUAUUGUAUAUAACAAGCUAACAGUGUUUUAUAAUUCAAAAGUUAUAUUCUGAUUUUAAUAAUAUUUAAAGAAGAUAUAAAUGAUAAUUGUCUCUCAUAUAGUUUGUUACAUAAUGUAUGCAUUUUGAAGAAUGUUUAUUUAACAUGAACUAAGUGAGUGUGAAGUUCAUUGUUGCUAAGUUGAAGCAUUAAUGAAUUAUUAUAGUUCUGGGAAGUGGGUUAGUCCUGAGGCGAUGACUCUCUCCUCCUUUAGACCUCCCAGUAACCUUAUUCAUGUGUACACUGCUGUUAUUCUUUGAGGGUAAUUGUCACACCAGCUGUCCAAUCCAGUCAGCAACGUCUACACCCCGAUGAAACACCGAUAACAAUAAUACACACCUGUAUACAUGUACAUGUGUGAGAGCGGAAGAUAUGUGAAUACUCUUGUGGGCCGGAUACAUGAAAUCUAAUAUGCUGAUACAGCAACGCUAGCAAGCGAAAACAAGCCAGUAAGACAUGACACAGCAAACGAGAAAAUCCCCCACAACAAUGCACAUCCAUCAACGAUAUAAACGAAAGAAAAAAAACGGAAUAAGGUAAGUAUUUUUGAUACAGUUUCCAAUACAAUGGCAGUGAGUCCUUUUGAUCUAAACCUCACAAAAUUCUCUCUUGUUAGUACUAUACUGUAGCUCCAGAGUCCAAAGCAAAGUGCACUUGCUGUAAUGUGAGAUAUGCUGACUAUAAUGUCAGAGUCAAUGGAAGUGACACAUUCACUGAGCAGUACUGCAAUGAGUGCAAAGCCAAUCAUGUUAAGUCGUUGAAGUUUCCUGGAAAGGACCUCAUAUACUCUGCAAUAAGAGGAAGCCACCCAGUAAAUCCUCAACCACCAAAAAAACCAGUCAGUAGUAGAAACUGGCAUGGUCAAUGUGACUGCUGUCGGUUCUACUAUUAUGAGACGGCAUUGACAAAGCUCCAGUUUGAGUGCAAAGACACCUCACAUUCAAAAACAUGUUGUCUUGAGUGUGCAGCAGAUCACAGAUCUUGUCGCCAUGACUAUUCCAUUGCCACUAUGCCCUCGCUACACGACUUGCUAACAAAGUUGAUGAAAGUUGAUACCUACAAAGGACCAAUAACACCAUACAAUGAAUAUUAGAUACUAAUACAUUAUUUUUGUGACUAGAUUUUUUUGUAGAAACACACUGUUUUUGUUUUUCGUAUUUUUUGAAAAUCUAACAAUGAAGUGCAGUCUACAUGCAAUAAAAGUAUCAUUCCAUUUAAUAGGACAAGACAAAUUGUACGUGUAACUAUAUAGUAUCUACAGAAACAAUAGUACUAGGAAUGAACUAAGUAUACACUCAUGUACAUAUCUAUGAUCAAUCAAGAUGGGUAGGGAUUCUAGCCCACAUACUUCAGUACUGAUAAAGCAAUUUGACGUCCAACUACUUAAUACCGGUAUGCUUGAGAAAAUAGAUAUUUGAGUAUAAGGUGCUUGUUUGUUGCUUUAAAGUUAUGGCAGUGAGUAGCUAAUCGAUUAGAAUAUUACAAUACUGUAUUUUAUAGAGUGCACCUUCUAAGAAGUGCUCAUGCUGCAGGUGGAGAGAUCCAGAUUAUAAUGCUUAUAAUGAAGGAAGCUCUCAUAUUACAGCUAGUUACUGCAAACAGUGUAAAGAGCUCCACAAAACAUCAGCUACAUAUGCUGGAAGGUCAUUAAAAUAUAAGAAGUACAAUAGUCCAAAAACAUCUUCCGAGACAUCAUUGUUUGAGACAUCAUCUUCAGAAACACCUUCAGAAAGUGAUGAAGAACCAGAGUUACAAAACUGCUUUUGCUGCGAAGAUGAUUAUGAAGUGUCAGCAGUCAUUACAAUGCAAUAUUUAUGUAAAGACAAAGAUCAUCAUAUCAAUGUCUGCUAUAACUGUGCUAAGCAGCACAGGACAUGCCCUUAUGACUGUGCUAACAUGACACUGGAUUCAAUGAAAGAUUUUGUUGACAUGCUAAGAGAUAAAAAUAUUGACAAAAAACCUUAUAAAAAGUAAUUAGAACAUUGUGAUUUUGUAUAACAAUGAUACUUAAUUGAGUAUUUAGUAUAGCUGAGAGCAUAGAAACCUUACUAACAAUGUAUUGUAAUAAUGAUAUGGGCAUGGGCUAGUAUUGGGGAGGACUUAGUGUUGAGUAAACAGCCACUAUAAAGAUAUUAACAAUAAGAGUACAUAUCGGUAGAGGUUUAUUUGUCCUCUAAAUCUCAAAGAUAUAAGAGCCAAUUUGUGGAACAGUUUUAAUGCAUAGCAAAUAGAAAAAGACAAUAUUAGACAACUCCAAAUUCCUAUCCUUUUAAUUCAUGGAAGCCUUACUACUCGGUAACAUUAUGUAAAUAUAUUCAUGAUCAGAGGAAUAUUAUCAUGUGAGGCACGAGCCUCUCCUCCUAUUCCCUCCUACGUAUACACACAAUAACCACAAUAUACAAAGACGUAAGGGGCUCUCCCUGGUAUCGUCCCGAUGCCGAUAAUGAUACAGCAUUUGCUAAUUAUGCCAUAAACACAAAUUCUAAGUAUAAAAGAGUUACACCAAAUGUACACAAAAUGUAUCAAUUAUUGUGCUCCUAAUAACUGACUGAGUCUUGAGAAUGGCAACUGCACACAAACAGUCAUCUCCUCCUAAAUGCCAUUGUUGUAAAUCACGAAAUGCAACAGGGAAGUAUUCCAACGAGUCCUCUUAUUGCAAAGAGUGUGCAAGUGAUCAANCAAAAAGAGGAACAUUGCUGAGCAAGUAUCCAGCAAUACCCCAAUGUUUUGGCAGUGUUGGACCAUAUGAAAAUUUUACCAAAUGUCAAUGCUGUCAAUUUGCUUUCACAUCAAAAAAAGAGGUGACAACACUAUUCUACAAAAAUGAAGACAGAUUCAACUACUGCUACAAUUGUGCCCCAAACCACAAAGUGAGCCCAAAUGAUCCCGACUUUGGCUUAAACCAUGAAGGCCUAAGACAACUAUCAAAGGUUAUAAGAGAAAACAAAUAACUAUAUGGAACAAUUAUUGCUAAGUGUUAAUCUAUACUAUUAUGUAUCAUUUUCAUAGCUGAUAGUACAUGUAUGUAUGUGUCAAAUAUAUAAACAUUUUAUUAUAUCCUUAGCAACAAAUACAUUUAUGAACUUAAUCUGAAAUACAACAUGCGCUUUUAGUUGUAAAACAACAAAAAGCUGGCAAUCAAGUUCUAUAGAAAAGGCAACAUUAGACAACUUCACCUUUUAAUUCAUGGAAGCCUUACUACUCGGUAACAUUAUGUAAAUAUAUUCAUGAUCAGAGGAAUAUUAUCAUGUGAGGCACGAGCCUCUCCUCCUAUUCCCUCCUAUGUAUACACACAUAACCACAAUAUACAAGACGUAAGGGGUUCUCCCUGGUAUCGUCCCGAUACCGAUAAUGAUACAGCAUUUGCUAGCUACACACAAAUUCUAAGUAUAAAAGAACCACAGCUAAUAUACACAAAAAUGCAUCAAAUUUAUUGUACUCCUAAAACUGACUGAGAUUCUUGAAAAUGUCAACUACUAAAUGCUACUGUUGUAACUACCGCUAUGCAACAGAAGAAUAUUCCAAUGGUUUUUACUGCACACAAUGUGCAAGUGAUCAACCAAACAAAGGAAGUUUUGUGGAUGAUCACACACCAAUGCAGCAACUUUUUGGUAGAGUUGGACCAUUUGAAAAGGAAAAGUACACCCAAUGUCAUUGCUGCCAAUUUUUCAUCACAUCACAACAAAAUAUAGCAACAUUAUUCUACAAGUGUAAUGACAGUUUCAACUUCUGCAAUGAUUGUGCUCCAAACCACAAGGUGUGCCCAAAACAUCCUGCCUUUGGAUUAAGCCAAGAAGGCCUAGUUCAAUUAUUGAGGCUAAUAAAAAAUAACCAAGAAUAACAACUAUAGAACAAAUUAAAACUUUAUUGCUAGAGUGUCAAUAUGAGGCAUUUAUUACUAUACUAAUACUAUUAUUACUUUAUUAGCCUUUUUAAUGUAUAGCAAUAAAUUUAUUUAGCAAUAUUUCAUUCUUAAAAUUCUGUUUAUAUUCAUGAAUAUGAUCUGCACUAUACUACUUUAUAAAAUGAUAAAUGAAACAUUGUAAAAAGCUGGUGAGGAAAGCUUUAUAGCUAUGAGCAAAACUAUCUAUAGCAGUGUGAUAUUAUAUGACUAUGCACUUAGGCACACAAACAGUCAUCUUCAUAAAUCCAUGAAGGCCUAAGACAACUAUCAAAGGUUAUAAGAGAAAACAAAUAAAUAUAUGGAAAACCUAUUGCUAAGUGUUUCUAUAAUACUAUUAUGUAUCAUUUUCAUAAUUGAUACCAUGUGUCAAAUACAAACCUUUAUCAUAAAUCCUUAGCAACAGAUAUGAACAUUCAUAACUUAAUCUGAAAUACA